This 253-nucleotide ribosomal RNA is filed under the name uncultured bacterium. Its description in RNAcentral is "partial 16S ribosomal RNA". It matches the Rfam family "Bacterial small subunit ribosomal RNA", at positions 524 to 776 of the family's 1533-position model. The record is from RNAcentral.
UACGAAGGGUGCGAGCGUUAUUCGGAAUCAUUGGGCGUAAAGGGUGCGUAGACGGUGUAUUAAGUCUGUUGUUAAAUGCCUCGGCCUAACCGAGGACUCGCAGUGGAAACUAAUAUGCUAGAGGGUGGAAGAGAGAAGUGGAAUUCUCGGAGUAGCGGUAAAAUGCGUAGAUCUCGAGAGGAACACCAAUGGCGAAGGCAGCUUCUUGGUCCAUACCUGACGUUGAGGCACGAAAGCGUGGGGAGCAAACAGG